GCGUGCAUGCUCUCUCUCAAAAAAAAAAAAAAAAUUGUAGAAUAAAAUCUUGAAUUAGAAUGAAAUUUAAAGGUUUUUUAUUUUCAUAAAAAUUACUUUUUUUUGGUAGAGCCAGUAUAAAGUCAUGACUUUUUCCUGCCUAAAUAUCACACCUAUUUAUUAAGCACUAGAUGUGUAUGAGAAGGCUAGGUAACUAAGCUCAUGUCCAAAGACCUCCUUCCUUCCGUUGGGGAAGAAUGGUAGCCUGCAGGCAGCGUGUUGUUUACACUUUGAGGAGAGUAGAGAAAUUUUAGAAGUAUCUGUUCCCGUGUAGUAAGAACUCAUCAAAAAUUAGAAUAAAAGGAUCAUAUGGCUCAGUUAAGUGCCAGCUUGGAUUGAGGUGGUCCUAUGGCUUCUUAACUUUAUCCAACCACGCCCAAAAGCCCACAAGGGUAGCCAAGUGCACAUUACCCUGGGUGGGGCCCAGGGAAGCUGGAACAAACAGGUUCUAGUGCAGUAAAGGGUCGGAGAAGACAAAGGACAAAGGACGGGCUUGUGAUACAAAUUUGAGAUCCUGCUGUUAGAAGAGAUUGGGUAGUGAGGAUUCCUAAGGAAUAGUUAUCAGAUGGAUGAUUUUGGUGGAGAAAAGCCCGCCGGAAAUAAAUAGGUCGCAGUUGGAAGCUUUGGGAGGGUCGUCAGCUUGAGUACUGACAUCAUUGAGGAGUAAACCGGUGGACUCAUUGGGCAGAUUGAGAGAAAGUCAUGGCAGUGCAGAAAGUGGAGAGAAUGAUAUAUAAGGAUUAACUUGGCUGUUCUUAACCGGGGGAUGUUUUACCCGUCACGCAACAUUUGGUGACGUCUGGAGACGUUUUUGAUUUUUGUAGCUGUGGAGGUGCUGCUGGCUCUGGUGGGUAGAGGCCGGGGGUUGCUGCUUCAACACCCUAAAAUGCAUAGGGCAGCCCCCUCAUGAAGAAUGAUCCAGUCCAAGAUGUCAGUACAGUGAUUCAAUCCGAGGUUGAGAUGCCCUGGAUUGUUUCUCCUCCCUUCCAUUCUGCUCUGUAGAAUUCUGCACAUCUGUUCGUUCUUUUGUUCGGUGAUCAUUUAUGGAGCUCCACCAAUGUGCCAGGCACCGUGCUAGAUAGGCAUUAGGAACAUCAAGAUUGGUUAGACAUCACCUCCUUUUUAAAGUUUAUUUCAAAUUAUAAAUUAAUACACGGGUAUAUUCUUAUAAGUAAAAAAAAAAAUCAGGAACAAACAUGUAAAGCCAGUGGUGACUUUGACUACCACCUUCAGUCUCUGUUCCUUCUCCAGAGGUACCCAGAGCUGUUACUUUGGUAUGUGUAGCCGAUUAUUAGGUCACUUCCCCUGCAUCCAUUUUCUUUCCUUGUCUUUUAUGCUACGCCAAGAAGUUUACUUUCGAAUAUUUGUACUAGGCUGCACCUUUCUUAAAAUGGGGACCAGGUGUUAGGUUUCUCUUUUUGACUUCUCAUUAUAAUAUACGUGGUAUGUAAAAAAUAUAUAAAUAUAAAUAUAAAUAUAAAUAUAAAUAUAAAUAUAUAUAUGUAGUAUACAAUAAAUGUUUGAUGCGUAAAGAAUGAAAUGAAUUGAUAGAAAAGCAGCAGUGGGGAGAGCAAAGAGAAUGCCAAGUCCUAGUAAUGGCCUUUUAUAGGCUUUGGAAGGCUGUGGGGUAUGUUUAUGGGGAAAAUGAAUUUAUGUUAGGAUAUAGAAAUACUGAAAGAGUGAGGAAAAAUUCAAAGCUGUACAGGUAUGAAAGGGUUUCCUGGGGGCCCAGGUGCUGAGCUGGUACAUAGGCAAAGGGGUUGAGAAGGACCAGAGAGCUUCAUUGUAUAGGGUUCAAGAGUCAAGGAGGGGUAGUAGGGCACCGGUCUUUUGAAGGUUAUUGCAAGUUAGCAGUGAAGAAGAACUUCCCAAUGUAGGAGCUUUUCAUAGAACUGGAAGAGUCCAGAAGUUCCUUUUGGAGUGUGAUGUGAUAGAAGCCUUCGUAGUUCUGUUACGUUCUAAAGGAAUUCUGCUUGUGCACGUGCUUGGAGAUACAUACCUCUUUAUAUACCUAAAGGCCCUUUGUUUUUCACUGAACAGAAUGUCUUAGGGAACAUUUUGUUUCAGUUUAUGCAGAUCAACCUCAUUCUUUUGAAAUGACCACAUAGUAUUCCAUAGAAAGGUUUUUUUUUUUUUUUAAAUCAUGAUUUGUUUAAACAUUCCUAUUGCUAGACAUUUAGGUUGUUCUCAGCGUUCUGCUACUAUAAGUGGUGCUGCUUGUGGCUGUGUCCUUGUGCACAUAGUGAAAUUUGCUCUUGUUUUAUGCGGGGACCUGAAGUUGGGGGCAGGGUCAGGGAAAGAGGUAAAGAGACAUGGAAGGAAGACAGACAUGUGCACAGAGGGCGGAGACAGAAACCAGGACUGUGAACAAAAUCCAAAACCGCCCCAGAGAAGAUGGAGGGAAAACAAAGGAAAACAGACACAAGGAAGGUAGAUACUGAGACCCCAAGUGGAUGCAUUUUUCAUAUCAUAGGAGGUAAAACACAUGUUGGGUCCCUUUGUUCAUCCCUCUCCCUCUUUUCCUCCCUCCCCCUCCUCCCUCCGUUUCCCUUCCUUCUUAGAAUAAAAAAGUUAAGUGUAAUACAGAGGUUGUGAAUUAGCACAAAUCGUCAAGUGCAAAAGUUAAAGCUUCAGAGUCUUCCUCAGUGUGUAUGUACGUAGUACUUAAAGCCAAGUGCUUUGAACUCCUCGGACACGGUGUGUUGGAAUUGUUAUUACAAUAUUGAUUUAUCUAUCGCCUGGCAGUCCCUUUCCAGGUCUAAAAUUCUGCGUUUGAAUGUAGUGUACAUGUUUUAGUAUUUCUGUAAGAACUGUAUCUUCUGCAUUUCCUGCUUUUGGAUAUUAAAUCUGUAAAGUUAA
Felis catus (domestic cat) is the source of this 2898-nucleotide long non-coding RNA. RefSeq lists it as uncharacterized. The transcript is spliced from 2 exons. The record is from RefSeq and is a predicted model, not a curated record. NCBI's taxonomy places the organism in Eukaryota, Metazoa, Chordata, Mammalia, Carnivora, Felidae.